AAUUUUUCAUCAUAAGCGGAGGAAAAGAAACCAACAGGGAUUGCCUCAGUAACGGCGAGUGAAGCGGCAACAGCUCAAAUUUUAAAGCUGGCGUCUUCGACGCCCGCGUUGUAAUUUGGAGAGGCAUCUUCGGUUUGGGCGCCAGCCUAUGUUCCUUGGAACAGGACGUCACAGAGGGUGAGAAUCCCGUGCUUGGCUGGCUGUCCCUUGCCAUGUGAAGUGCCUUCGACGAGUCGAGUUGUUUGGGAAUGCAGCUCAAAAUGGGUGGUAAAUUCCAUCUAAAGCUAAAUAUUGGCGGGAGACCGAUAGCGCACAAGUAGAGUGAUCGAAAGAUGAAAAGCACUUUGAAAAUAGAGUUAAAAAGUACGUGAAAUUGUUGAAAGGGAAGCGCUUGAGACCAGACUCGGCCGGAGAUGAUCAGCCGUCCUUCUGGGCGGUGCACUUGUCUCCGGUCGGGCCAGCAUCGGUUGAGACGGCGGGAUAAAGGCCCGGGGAAUGUGGCUCCUUUCGGGGAGUGUUAUAGCCCCGGACGCAAUGCCGCCAGCCUCGACCGAGGACCGCGCUUUUUGCUAGGAUGCUGGCGUAAUGGUCUUCAGCGACCCGUCUUGAAACACGGACCAAGGAGUCUAACAUCUAUGCGAGUGUUUGGGUGUCAAACCCUUGCGCGUAAUGAAAGUGAACGGAGGUGGGAACCCCCUCGCGGGGCGCACCAUCGACCGGUCCUGAUGUCUUCGGAUGGAUCUGAGUAGGAGCAUAGCUGUUGGGACCCGAAAGAUGGUGAACUAUGCCUGAAUAGGGUGAAGCCAGAGGAAACUCUGGUGGAGGCUCGCAGCGGUUCUGACGUGCAAAUCGAUCGUCAAAUUUGGGUAUAGGGGCGAAAGAC
RNAcentral lists this ribosomal RNA (883 nucleotides) under Paragyromitra infula. RNAcentral describes it as "LSU rRNA". It matches the Rfam family "Eukaryotic large subunit ribosomal RNA", at positions 31 to 931 of the family's 3401-position model. Lineage: Eukaryota; Fungi; Ascomycota; Pezizomycetes; Pezizales; Discinaceae. The record is from RNAcentral.